AACUCAUGGUGAGGACAUGAACGAAUAUCUCCUUAAAUCGCACCCAAGCUUCCGCAAGUGUCUCAUCGUUCUCUUGCUCAAAUGAGGAUAUCUUCCUCCUUAUGUC
Beta vulgaris subsp. vulgaris (sugar beet) is the source of this 106-nucleotide small nucleolar RNA. It matches the Rfam family "Plant small nucleolar RNA R71". Rfam says of the family: R71 is a member of the C/D box family of snoRNAs containing the C (UGAUGA) and D (CUGA) box motifs. Multiple nearly identical copies of this snoRNA have been identified in Arabidopsis, and it is thought to function as a 2'-O-ribose methylation guide for 18S ribosomal RNA. Lineage: Eukaryota; Viridiplantae; Streptophyta; Magnoliopsida; Caryophyllales; Amaranthaceae. The record is from Rfam.